CAAUAGCGUAUAUUUAAGUUGCUGCAGUUAAAAAGCUCGUAGUUGGAUUUCGGUUGAGAGCGGCCGGUCCGCCGUUUGGUGUGCACUGGCUGGUUUCAACUUCCUGUAGAGGACGUGCUCUGGGUUUAACGACCUGGACUCGGAGUCUACGUGGUUACUUUGAAAAAAUUAGAGUGUUCAAAGCGGGCUUACGCUUGAAUAUUUCAGCAUGGAAUAACACUAUAGGACUCCUGUCCUAUUUCGUUGGUCUCGGGACGGGAGUAAUGAUUAAGAGGAACAGUUGGGGGCAUUCGUAUUUCAUUGUCAGAGGUGAAAUUCUUGGAUUUAUGAAAGACGAACUUCUGCGAAAGCAUUUGCCAAGGAUGUUUUCAUUAA
This 375-nucleotide ribosomal RNA is filed under the name uncultured eukaryote. RNAcentral's name for it is "partial 18S ribosomal RNA". It matches the Rfam family "Eukaryotic small subunit ribosomal RNA", at positions 592 to 976 of the family's 1831-position model. The record is from RNAcentral.